Molecule: ribosomal RNA, 460 nt
Filed under: uncultured bacterium
Lineage: Bacteria
Description: partial 16S ribosomal RNA
Rfam family: Bacterial small subunit ribosomal RNA
Source: RNAcentral
CCUACGGGGGGCAGCAGUGAGGAAUAUUGGUCAAUGGACGCAAGUCUGAACCAGCCAUGCCGCGUGCAGGAAGACGGCUCUAUGAGUUGUAAACUGCUUUUGUACGAGGGUAAACGCAGAUACGCGUAUCUGUCUGAAAGUAUCGUACGAAUAAGGAUCGGCUAACUCCGUGCCAGCAGCCGCGGUAAUACGGAGGAUUCAAGCGUUAUCCGGAGUUAUUGGGUUUAAAGGGUGCGUAGGCGGUCGGAUAAGUUAGAGGUGAAAUCCCGAGGCUCAACUUCGGAAUUGCCUCUGAUACUGUUCGGCUAGAGAGUAGUUGCGGUAGGCGGAAUGUAUGGUGUAGCUGUGAAAUGCUUAGAGAUCAUACAGAACACCGAUUGCGAAGGCAGCUUACCAAGCUACUUCUGACGUUGAGGCACGAAAGCGUGGGGAGCAAACAGGAUUAGAUACCCGGGUAGUC